RNAcentral lists this long non-coding RNA (303 nucleotides) under Chinchilla lanigera (long-tailed chinchilla). Its description in RNAcentral is "lncRNA (ENSCLAG00000024555.1)". Lineage: Eukaryota; Metazoa; Chordata; Mammalia; Rodentia; Chinchillidae. The record is from RNAcentral.
CAGUAAAGCAGCAUCUCCACGUGGACUCUGGCUCCCUGCAUCAGUACCACCUUGGGAGACUGGGAAGCAAAGGUCUCAGCAUGAACCACAAUCAACUAAAUCUUCACACCUUUCUAGUUAUAGCCAAGUGUUGGAUGUGCGUCCUUGUCUCCAGCUUCCUGUAGCAUUGUCUUUUAAGGGGCAUCCCCUCCCUCUGUGAAUGUCUGGCUACUCUUCCAACCACUCUUCCUGGUGAGUUUCAUCAAUAAGGAAAGGUUCGGCCUGAGUUUGUUGUAGUAUCUUUGGUCCAUAGAACCUUAGAUG